This 274-nucleotide ribosomal RNA is filed under the name uncultured bacterium. RNAcentral's name for it is "partial 16S ribosomal RNA". It matches the Rfam family "Bacterial small subunit ribosomal RNA", at positions 523 to 796 of the family's 1533-position model. The record is from RNAcentral.
AUACGGAGGGUGCAAGCGUUGUUCGGAUUUAUUGGGCGUAAAGCGAGUGUAGGCGGUUUGACAAGUCGAAUGUGAAAUCCCGGGGCCCAACCUCGGAACUGCAUCCGAAACUGUCAGGCUAGAGUCCCGGAGAGGAUGGCGGAAUUCCCGGUGUAGGGGUGAAAUCCGUAGAUAUCGGGAGGAACACCAGUGGCGAAGGCGGCCAUCUGGACGGUGACUGACGCUGAGACUCGAAAGCGUGGGUAGCAAACAGGAUUAGAUACCCCAGUAGUCC